UGGGAGAAUCAAAGUCAGAGGAGGAAAAAUGAAUGAGAAAAUGAGCAGUCAGGAGCAACUCGGGUGACAGACAGCGCUCAGCACAGCGAAAUGAAUUAGCAAGAAGGCUUGGACAGGCAGCGCCGAAGGACCGCAGAGCGAAGCGCUGGAGACUGUAAGGCAGAUUGAAGAUCCUACAUACUGAAGGGUAUCAGCAUUCUCACCUGGUCUCCGAAAGAGCUGUCCUUCCUAUGAAAAAGAGAAAAAUAUUUGGAUACAGUUUGGUAAGAAUAUGAAGGAAUCAGAAGGAAUAUUUUUAAGCAUCUUAUCUCUUGAUCAAACUGGUCAAAUGACAAUCUUAACAGUCAUUUACAUGAACAAUGUCAGAUGUUUUUUUACUUUUUAUCCAUUUAAUCUUCACCUUGAUCCUGAGAGGUCAUCAUUAAAAUGUCUGGUCUAGAUCUAGGGGCUGUUGAUGAGCCUGUACUCAAGCUCUGCCUCUGACCCGGCUUUCGGAGCACCCAGAUCCAGGGAGGAACCACUGCAAGUAAGCAGCACACUCCCCACUUACUGGCCCUUCUCUCCCUCAGGACCAGGGCCCAAAUCAUGUCAGCGGUCCCUUGGGUUGUAAGCCUCUUAGGCUGCUUGUGCCAAAAGGUGAACCAAAGAGUGAACUCAAGAAAUCUCCCCAAAUGUCUACUCUUUAAAUGUAAAUGAGUGUAAUAUCUCCUUUGUGUCACCCUGACAUUUUAAGUAUAAAAUAUCAAUUGGAAAAAACUUCAAAUCAAAAGUUAUACAUUCUAGAAGAAGAAAUUGGAAAAAUUUUAAAGCUUUGAGAGUUAAGUCAAUCCCAUAGAAGUAAGACACUUUGCAGGAGAAAGUAAUAUAUAUGUAUAUAUAUUAAUAUGUAAAUAUAUACAUAUAUAUACACAUAUAUAUAUAUAUAUAUUAGCAUGUAUUAUGUUUUCAACACUGCCAGGCAAUGUAAGAGAUAUAGAAGAACUAUAAAACAUUGUUCCUAUUCUCAAAAAGCUUGUAAUGUAGUAGGGUAGAAGAAAAUUUUGAAUCUAAAUUGACACAGCCAACCAACACAUACACAUUUUUCUUCAUAAAAAAUACUAAAACUGUAUGUAUGACACAUCUCUGAGCAGUGAGUGGAAGAAAAGAGGAAACCUAAUGUGGGCUGCGUGACUUCACAUGUGAUGUCUUAUUUCAUCCUCUCAAGCAUUCAUUGAAUUAAGGACUAUUUUCUCCAUUUUUAUAGAUGAGGUUACCAAAACUGAUAUCCUAAAUGACUUGUCCACAAUAAGAUAUAUAUAUAAGAUAUAUAUUAGACUAAAACUCUAAUACCAAGUUCUAAAUCUCUUACUGUUCUUGCCAUAUUGAGGUGACCUUGAAGACUUAUCACAAGUGGUUCAGAUCUUUCUCCUCUCCUUAUGCAUAUGGUAAGACUGUACCUCCCCACCCACCUGAAAUUACAUAUGGCCAUGUAACCUGCUCUGGCCACUGAAAUGUGAGUGGGUAUGAUGUGCAUCACUUCUGGCCAGAAGCCUCAAGAGCCAGUGCACACCAUUAACCAUGUUCUCUCUUUUCCUGUGCCACAUGGUACAAAAUAUGUAAUGAAGCAGAUACUCCAUCACCUCGGGUCCUGUAAUGAAGACAACAGGGAGCACAGGCCCUAUUCAACCCUCAAUGGACAUGUAGAAUAAGGAAUAAAUGUUUUUAUUUCAAGUACUAAACACUGAGUUUGCUUUAACCUGACCAAUCCUGACCCAUUGGUACUAUGAAUAAGAUUUAGGUCCUAAAAUAUGUAACUAGUUGAAGGACCAGUCAGCAGGUGAUGAGGAAAUUUAGUGGAGACUGAAAGUCUGGGACAAUCUGUUAUUUUUCAUCUAUAAUAACUUAAAAGUCACAUAAUGCAUUUGAUCUUAUAGCUCUAGAAAAAGUUGAAAACUAGAAUAUCAGUAGCAUGUAUGGGUUACUGCAUUUGACUGAAUUUGACAAGGUACUACAAGAGAUGGAGUUUCCAAUUAGGAGUAAGAGGGAAAAGAGAGUCCAGAGAUAUGGGGGCUUAUAGGAUUGGACGAGUCAGCUGCGUGGAAAAGCUUUUAGGUAAUAAAAGCUAAUCAGACCUUAGCUUUGUGGCAAGGACCAAAUCAAGGCGUGGUAGUCAUAUCUGUUGUCCAAGCUUCAGAAUGGAUUCAUUUAUGGCCCAGCAAAUUGCUUGAGUUAGAAAAGAUAGCUUAGGGCAUAACUCUCCCACCACAGCUUAAUGGGCCUGCUGUGCCCACAGCUAAACUGAGAAAGAAAGACAGAAUUAUCAGUAUGGCUACUGACACAUGGAGCUGACAAAUCAAAGAAGCUGACUAAACUUUGAAACCAUGAACCUGGAUUAGGAGAUCUGUGACUAUUAAGGCUGAACAGUGACUCCUGGACUCUUAAUCUGCAGGCAGUGGGCAAGCUGUAAAACCUGCUCAGGCCUCCCAUAUCCUCCCCAGAGGCAGCCAAGCAGGAUAACGGCAAAGGAAGAUCUCCAGAGGGUACAGCCCAGGGAACAUGAACCACUAGUUAAAUGAAAAAACAGAAAAGACUUACUGACUGAAUGGUGCCCUCCAUGGGACUGAACCCAGAAAGCAUUUUCACUUCUACAAUGGCCAAGUUGGAAGAGCUGCGCCUU
Manis pentadactyla (Chinese pangolin) is the source of this 2656-nucleotide long non-coding RNA. RefSeq lists it as uncharacterized. The record is from RefSeq and is a predicted model, not a curated record. Lineage: Eukaryota; Metazoa; Chordata; Mammalia; Pholidota; Manidae. The transcript is spliced from 3 exons.